GAUGAACGCUGGCGGCGUGCCUAAUACAUGCGAGUCGAGCGAACAGACGAGGAGCUUGCUCCUCUGACGUUAGCGGCGGACGGGUGAGUAACACGUGGAUAACCUACCUAUAAGACUGGGAUAACUUCGGGAAACCGGAGCUAAUACCGGAUAAUAUAUUGAACCGCAUGGUUCAAUAGUGAAAGACGGUUUUGCUGUCACUUAUAGAUGGAUCCGCGCCGCAUUAGCUAGUUGGUAAGGUAACGGCUUACCAAGGCAACGAUGCGUAGCCGACCUGAGAGGGUGAUCGGCCACACUGGCACUGAGACACGGUCCAGACUCCUACGGGAGGCAGCAGUAGGGAAUCUUCCGCAAUGGGCGAAAGCCUGACGGAGCAACGCCGCGUGAGUGAUGAAGGUCUUCGGAUCGUAAAACUCUGUUAUUAGGGAAGAACAAAUGUCUAAGUAACUAUGCACGUCUUGACGGUACCUAAUCAGAAAGCCACGGCUAACUACGUG
Molecule: ribosomal RNA, 497 nt
Filed under: uncultured bacterium
Lineage: Bacteria
Description: partial 16S ribosomal RNA
Rfam family: Bacterial small subunit ribosomal RNA
Source: RNAcentral